GAUGAACGCUGGCGGUAUGCCUAACACAUGCAAGUCGUACGAGAGUUUUUAACUCUAGUGGCGGACGGGUGAGUAACACGUGAGAAUUUGCCUUUAGGAGGGGGACAACAAUUGGAAACGAAUGCUAAUACCCCAUAUGCUUUCGAGUGAAAUGGAUUUUAUCCGCCUAGAGAGAAGCUCGCGGCUGAUUAGCUUGUUGGUAAGGUAAGAGCUUACCAAGGCGACGAUCAGUAUCUGGUUUGAGAGGACGAUCAGACACACUGGAACUGAGACACGGUCCAGACUCCUACGGGAGGCAGCAGUGGGGAAUUUUCCGCAAUGGGCGAAAGCCUGACGGAGCAAUACCGCGUGAGGGAAGAAUGCCUAUGGGUUGUAAACCUCUUUUUUCAGGGAGGAAUAAAAUGACGUGUACCUGAAGAGUAAGCAUCGGCUAACUCCGUG
This 441-nucleotide ribosomal RNA is filed under the name uncultured bacterium. Its description in RNAcentral is "bacterial SSU rRNA". It matches the Rfam family "Bacterial small subunit ribosomal RNA", at positions 28 to 507 of the family's 1533-position model. The record is from RNAcentral.